RNAcentral lists this ribosomal RNA (422 nucleotides) under uncultured bacterium. RNAcentral describes it as "bacterial SSU rRNA". It matches the Rfam family "Bacterial small subunit ribosomal RNA", at positions 355 to 768 of the family's 1533-position model. The record is from RNAcentral.
UGGGGAAUUUUGCACAAUGGGGGAAACCCUGACGCAGCAACGCCGCGUGAGUGAUGAAGGUCUUCGGGUCGUAAAGCUCUGUCAGAGGGGAAGAAAUGCAGGGGUGCUAAUAUCAUCUUUGCUUGACGGUACCCUCAAAGGAAGCACCGGCUAACUCCGUGCCAGCAGCCGCGGUAAUACGGAGGGUGCGAGCGUUGUUCGGAAUUAUUGGGCGUAAAGCGCGUGUAGGCGGUUUGGUAAGUCUGAUGUGAAAGCCCCGGGCUCAACCUGGGAAGUGCAUUGGAAACUGUCAGACUUGAAUACGGGAGAGGGUAGUGGAAUUCCUAGUGUAGGAGUGAAAUCCGUAGAUAUUAGGAGGAACACCGGUGGCGAAGGCGGCUACCUGGACCGAUAUUGACGCUGAGACGCGAAAGCGUGGGGAG